Molecule: ribosomal RNA, 252 nt
Filed under: uncultured bacterium
Lineage: Bacteria
Description: partial 16S ribosomal RNA
Rfam family: Bacterial small subunit ribosomal RNA
Source: RNAcentral
UACGAAGGAGGCUAGCGUUGUUCGGAAUUACUGGGCGUAAAGCGCACGUAGGCGGGUUUGUAAGUAGGGGUGAAAUCCCAGGGCUCAACCCUGGAACUGCCUUCUAGACUGCAAGCCUGGAGGUCAGGAGAGGCGAGUGGAAUACCGAGUGUAGAGGUGAAAUUCGUAGAUAUUCGGUGGAACACCAGUGGCGAAGGCGACUCGCUGGACUGAUACUGACGCUGAGGUGCGAAAGCGUGGGGAGCAAACAGG